This 449-nucleotide ribosomal RNA is filed under the name uncultured bacterium. RNAcentral describes it as "bacterial SSU rRNA". It matches the Rfam family "Bacterial small subunit ribosomal RNA", at positions 354 to 796 of the family's 1533-position model. The record is from RNAcentral.
GUCGGGAAUCUUCCGCAAUGGGCGCAAGCCUGACGGAGCGACGCCGCGUGAGCGAUGAAGGCCUUCGGGUUGUAAAGCUCUGUGGGGAGGGAAGAAUAAGGGCAGGUUAAUAGCCUGUUUGAUGACGGUACCUCCUUAGCAAGCACCGGCUAACUCUGUGCCAGCAGCCGCGGUAAGACAGAGGGUGCAAACGUUGUUCGGAUUUACUGGGCGUAAAGCGCGUGUAGGCGGCUUUGCAAGUCGGAUGUGAAAGCCCACGGCUCAACCGUGGAAGUGCAUCCGAAACUGCAUGGCUUGAGUCUCGGAGAGGAAGGUGGAAUGCUUGGUGUAGAGGUGAAAUUCGUAGAUAUCAAGCAGAACACCUGCGGCGAAGGCGGCCUUCUGGACGAUGACUGACGCUGAGACGCGAAAGCGUGGGGAGCAAACAGGAUUAGAAACCCUUGUAGUCC